Molecule: ribosomal RNA, 492 nt
Filed under: uncultured bacterium
Lineage: Bacteria
Description: partial 16S ribosomal RNA
Rfam family: Bacterial small subunit ribosomal RNA
Source: RNAcentral
GAUGAACGCUAGCUACAGGCUUAACACAUGCAAGUCGAGGGGAAACGGCAUCGAAAGCUUGCUUUUGAUGGGCGUCGACCGGCGCACGGGUGAGUAACGCGUAUCCAACCUGCCCAUCACUUGGGAAUAACCUUGCGAAAGUAAGACUAAUGCCCAAUGACAUCCCACGAAGGCAUCCGAAUGGGAUUAAAGAUUUAUCGGUGAUGGAUGGGGAUGCGUCUGAUUAGCUUGUUGGUGGGGUGACGGCCCACCAAGGCAACGAUCAGUAGGGGUUCUGAGAGGAAGGUCCCCCACAUUGGAACUGAGACACGGUCCAAACUCCUACGGGAGGCAGCAGUGAGGAAUAUUGAUCAAUGGGCGAGAGCCUGAACCAGCCAAGUAGCGUGCAGGAUGACGGCCCUAUGGGUUGUAAACUGCUUUUAUAAGGGAAUAAAGUGGGUCACGUGUGACUUUUUGCAUGUACCUUAUGAAUAAGGACCGGCUAAUUCCGUG